This 45-nucleotide non-coding RNA is filed under the name Schistosoma bovis. The record is from RNAcentral. RNAcentral also lists the same sequence under 1 other name. Lineage: Eukaryota; Metazoa; Platyhelminthes; Trematoda; Strigeidida; Schistosomatidae.
AUCCAUCUGAUGAGUCCUAAAUAAGACGAAACCCGCGUUAUGGUU